GACGAACGCUGGCGGCGUGCCUAACACAUGCAAGUCGAACGAGGUCCAUCCUUCGGGAGAAGACCUAGCGGCGAACGGGGCGAGUAACACGUGAAGAACCUGCCCCGAAGACCGGGAUAACCCUCCGAAAGGAGAGCUAAUACCGGAUACCCCACCGAACCGCAUGGUUUGGUGAGGAAAUGGAUUCCGCUUCGGGAGGGCUUCGCGGCCUAUCAGCUAGUUGGUGGGGUAACGGCCCACCAAGGCAUCGACGGGUAGCUGGGUCUGAGAGGACGAUCAGCCACACUGGGACUGAGACACGGCCCAGACUCCUACGGGAGGCAGCAGUGGGGAAUCUUGCGCAAUGGGCGAAAGCCUGACGCAGCAACGCCGCGUGGGGGAUGAAGGCUCUCGGGUUGUAAACCCCUUUCAGCAGGGACGAAUCAAGACGGUACCUGCAGAAGAAGCCCCGGCUAACUACGUGCCAGCAG
RNAcentral lists this ribosomal RNA (470 nucleotides) under uncultured bacterium. RNAcentral's name for it is "bacterial SSU rRNA". It matches the Rfam family "Bacterial small subunit ribosomal RNA", at positions 28 to 514 of the family's 1533-position model. The record is from RNAcentral.